UUUCUGUGACUAUCUCCAUUGCGGAGGAAAAGAAACCAACUGGGAUUACCUUAGUAACGGCGAGUGAAGCGGUAAAAGCUCAAAUUUGAAAUCUGGUACUUUCAGUGCCCGAGUUGUAAUUUGUAGAAUUUGUCUUUGAUUAGGUCCUUGUCUAUGUUCCUUGGAACAGGACGUCAUAGAGGGUGAGAAUCCCGUUUGGCGAGGAUACCUUUUCUCUGUAAGACUUUUUCGAAGAGUCGAGUUGUUUGGGAAUGCAGCUCAAAGUGGGUGGUAAAUUCCAUCUAAAGCUAAAUAUUGGCGAGAGACCGAUAGCGAACAAGUACAGUGAUGGAAAGAUGAAAAGAACUUUGAAAAGAGAGUGAAAAAGUACGUGAAAUUGUUGAAAGGGAAGGGCAUUUGAUCAGACAUGGUGUUUUUUGCAUGCACUCGCCUCUCGUGGGCUUGGGCCUCUCAAAAAUUUCACUGGGCCAACAUCAAUUCUGGCAGUAGGAUAAAUCAUUAAGAAUGUAGCUACCUCGGUAGUGUUAUAGCUUAUUGGAAUACUGCUAGCUGGGAUUGAGGACUGCGCUCGCAAGGUCUGAAGCUUUG
RNAcentral lists this ribosomal RNA (588 nucleotides) under Hanseniaspora opuntiae. RNAcentral's name for it is "partial large subunit ribosomal RNA". It matches the Rfam family "Eukaryotic large subunit ribosomal RNA", at positions 1 to 616 of the family's 3401-position model. The record is from RNAcentral. Lineage: Eukaryota; Fungi; Ascomycota; Saccharomycetes; Saccharomycodales; Saccharomycodaceae.